UUCUGACUCUUUCUUCUACUUUUUUAUUAUUUUAUAU
Molecule: small RNA, 37 nt
Filed under: Arabidopsis thaliana (thale cress)
Lineage: Eukaryota; Viridiplantae; Streptophyta; Magnoliopsida; Brassicales; Brassicaceae
Description: ATSL214650
Source: RNAcentral